RNAcentral lists this ribosomal RNA (439 nucleotides) under uncultured bacterium. RNAcentral describes it as "partial 16S ribosomal RNA". It matches the Rfam family "Bacterial small subunit ribosomal RNA", at positions 338 to 795 of the family's 1533-position model. The record is from RNAcentral.
CCUACGGGGGGCUGCAGUGGGGGAUAUUGCACAAUGGAGGAAACUCUGAUGCAGCGACGCCGCGUGAGGGAAGACGGUCUUCGGAUUGUAAACCUCUGUCUGUGGGGAAGAAAAUGACGGUACCCAAAGAGGAAGCGCCGGCUAACUACGUGCCAGCAGCCGCGGUAAUACGGAGGGAGCGAGCGUUGUCCGGAAUUACUGGGUGUAAAGGGAGCGUAGGCGGGAGAGAAAGUUUCAGGUUAAAUCUACCGGCUUAACUGGUAGCUGCGUUUUAAAAUUCUUGUCUUGAGUGAAGGAGAGGCAGGCGGAAUUCCUAGUGUAGCGGUGAAAUGCGUAGAUAGUAGGAAGAACCCCAGUGGCGAAGGCGGCCUUCUGGGCCUUAACUGACGCUGAGGCUCGAAAGCGUGGGGAGCAAACAGGAUUAGAUACCCUAGUAGUC